RNAcentral lists this ribosomal RNA (492 nucleotides) under uncultured bacterium. RNAcentral describes it as "partial 16S ribosomal RNA". It matches the Rfam family "Bacterial small subunit ribosomal RNA", at positions 29 to 507 of the family's 1533-position model. The record is from RNAcentral.
AGUGAACGCUGGCGGCAUGCCUAACACAUGCAAGUCGAACGGUAACGCAGUAAGAGCUUGCUCUUACGGGUGGCGAGUGGAGGACGAGAGCGGAAUACACCGGAAUCUACUUUUUAGUGAGGCAUAACGUUGGGUAAUAUACCCUACUACCGCCGACGACCUACGGGGGAACGCAGGGGAUCUUCGGACCUGGCGCGCUUGAGUGAGCCGAUGUCGGUUUAGGUAGUUGGUGGGGUAAAGGCCUACCAAGGCGACGAUCCGUAGCUGGUCUGAGAGGAUGAUCAGCCACACUGGAACUGAGACACGGUCCAGACUCCUACGGGAGGCAGCAGUGGGGAAUAUUGGACAAUGGGCGCAAGCCUGAUCCAGCCAUGCCGCGUGGGUGAAGAAGGCCUUCGGGUUGUAAAGCCCUUUUGUUGGGAAAGAAAAGCAGUAUGUUAAUACAGCGGGGUUAUGACGGUACCGAAAGAAUAAGCACCGGCUAACUACGUG